UACGUAGGGGGCAAGCGUUGUCCGGAAUUAUUGGGCGUAAAGAGCGUGUAGGCGGUCCGGUUAGUCGGCUGUGAAAGUCGGGGGCUCAACCCUCGGAUGCCGGUGGAUACUGUCGGGCUUGAGUACGGAAGAGGCGAGUGGAAUUCCUGGUGUAGCGGUGAAAUGCGCAGAUAUCAGGAGGAACACCAAUUGCGAAGGCAGCUCGCUGGGACGUUACUGACGCUGAGACGCGAAAGCGUGGGGAGCAAACAGG
This 253-nucleotide ribosomal RNA is filed under the name uncultured bacterium. RNAcentral describes it as "partial 16S ribosomal RNA". It matches the Rfam family "Bacterial small subunit ribosomal RNA", at positions 524 to 776 of the family's 1533-position model. The record is from RNAcentral.